UCUUCAUUUCACACGCUCUCUCGCCCGGUCAGAGAGACGAGAGAGUGUGUGCGAAAUGAGGAGA
This 64-nucleotide microRNA precursor is filed under the name Pristionchus pacificus. Its description in RNAcentral is "mir-8364 microRNA precursor family". It matches the Rfam family "mir-8364 microRNA precursor family". The record is from Rfam by way of RNAcentral. Lineage: Eukaryota; Metazoa; Nematoda; Chromadorea; Rhabditida; Neodiplogasteridae.